CCUACGGGUGGCAGCAGUCGAGAAUCAUUCACAAUGGGGGAAACCCUGAUGGUGCGACGCCGCGUGGGGGAAUGAAGGUCUUCGGAUUGUAAACCCCUGUCAUGUGGGAGCAAAUUAAAAAGAUAGUACCACAAGAGGAAGAGACGGCUAACUCUGUGCCAGCAGCCGCGGUAAUACAGAGGUCUCAAGCGUUGUUCGGAAUCACUGGGCGUAAAGCGUGCGUAGGCUGUUUCGUAAGUCGUGUGUGAAAGGGGCGGGCUCAACCCGCGGACGGCACAUGAUACUGCGAGACUAGAGUAAUGGAGGGGGAACCGGAAUUCUCGGUGUAGCAGUGAAAUGCGUAGAUAUCGAGGGGAACACUCGUGGCGAAGGCGGGUUCCUGGACAUUAACUGACGCUGAGGCACGAAGGCCAGGGGAGCGAAAGGGAUUAGAUACCCUAGUAGUC
RNAcentral lists this ribosomal RNA (446 nucleotides) under uncultured bacterium. RNAcentral describes it as "partial 16S ribosomal RNA". It matches the Rfam family "Bacterial small subunit ribosomal RNA", at positions 338 to 795 of the family's 1533-position model. The record is from RNAcentral.